Molecule: ribosomal RNA, 253 nt
Filed under: uncultured bacterium
Lineage: Bacteria
Description: partial 16S ribosomal RNA
Rfam family: Bacterial small subunit ribosomal RNA
Source: RNAcentral
UACGAAGGGUGCAAGCGUUACUCGGAAUUACUGGGCGCAAAGCGUGCGUAGGUGGUUCGUUAAGUCUGAUGUGAAAGCCCUGGGCUCAACCUGGGAAUGGCAUUGGAAACUGGCGACCUAGAGUGCGGUAGAGGAUGGCGGAAUUCCCGGUGUAGCGGUGAAAUGCGUAGAGAUCGGGAGGAACAUCCGUGGCGAAGGCGGCCAUCUGGAUCAACACUGACGCUGAGGCACGAAAGCGUGGGGAGCAAACAGG